UAGGGAAUCUUGGACAAUGGGCGAAAGCCUGAUCCAGCCAUGCCGCGUGGAUGAUGAAGGCCUUCGGGUCGUAAAGUCCUUUUCUAAGGGAAGAACAGCAGAGGGAGGAAAUGUCCUUUGUUUGACGGUACCUUAGGAAUAAGCAACGGCUAACUCCGUGCCAGCAGCCGCGGUAAUACGGAGGUUGCAAGCGUUGUUCGGAAUAACUGGGCGUAAAGGGAGCGCAGGCGGUUCGGUUAGUCUGAAGUGAAAUCCCAGAGCUCAACUCUGGACCUGCUUCGGAUACUGCCGAGCUUGAGUACGUGAGAGGAGAGUGGAAUUCCAGGUGUAGCGGUGAAAUGCGUAGAUAUCUGGAGGAACACCAGUGGCGAAAGCGGCUCUCUGGCACGUUACUGACGCUGAGGCUCGAAAGCGUGGGGAGCAAACG
RNAcentral lists this ribosomal RNA (427 nucleotides) under uncultured bacterium. RNAcentral describes it as "bacterial SSU rRNA". It matches the Rfam family "Bacterial small subunit ribosomal RNA", at positions 355 to 774 of the family's 1533-position model. The record is from RNAcentral.